UCUCGUUUCUCUCCACUUCUGUCUCCCAAAAAUAACUGCUCCCUCCCCUCGCCCGCUCACCUCUCCCCAUGGCCGCGUCGUGUCCACCGCCGCCCCCACGCGACGCAGGCGGGGAUCUCCUCCCAAGUUCCCCUCUUCUCCCUCUUCACCAUCCCACACGAUAAGCGGGCAGCAGAGGACGAAAAUGGCGACCACCAUCUCUCUCCUCUCCCUCGCCCCGCUCCGACUCACCCACCGCUGCCUCCUCUCCCUCACCCCCGGCAGGCCUCACGUUUCCAUACGCUCGCCUCGAAGGACGCAGCCGCCUCAACCGUCUCCGGGCCCGGAGUGGGCGCGAGGAGUAGGCUGCUCUUGGUGCUCGACCGGGCGCUCAUGGACGAGGAGCAAGACUGCCGCGAGUGCGCCCAGGUGCAGCACAAGGGCAUCGAGGCGGACAUCCUGCUGCUUUCUCCACCCCCUCGCCGUCGCCUCUCCGGAACUUCCUCUAGCCUGGGGACAUCCUGCUGUUGUCUCCACCCCGUCCAGUCUUCGUCCGGCCUUCUUAUCUCCUCCCUCUCUUUGAGGGAUCUUUUACAAUGGAUGAUGCGUGAUAGCUUGGUGCUUUUUAUUAUGAUUUUGAAUGAAGGAGAGAAGUUGAACCAUUGGGAAGAGAAAAGCGGCCGCUAGGCCACCCCCUAGGAAGUGGAUGGACAAACUCGAUACGGUCUUUUCCUGCCCAUUCUGCAAUCAUGGGAGCAGCGCUGAAUGCCGGAUGAUAGUACCAUCUUCAUUGAUACGAAGAACCUGAUUAGUGAGGCUAAUUGUCAAAUCUGCCAGGAAAGCUUCAGCACCACUGCAAAGAAGUUCAACCUACCACAUUAUUUUCUUGUUAAUGUAUUUUAAUUAAGCUAUCUUAUCUUAAGUGAAUUAUUCUGCCGAGGGUCAAGAACAUGGCAGUGUAGCGACAUGGCCGGUGGCUUGCUGCUGUUGCGAGUGGGCUACCUAGAAGAUGAACAUGAAGAAUAUGGUGCCAGCAAUGGCAAAGGGGAAGGUAGGGAGUGGUAAAGUGAAAGAGAAAUAUUGAGGUGUGAAGUUAGUAUACGAGAUAUAGAUGCUCCACAACAUGUGUAUUGUUGCGUAACUCUUGGCUCUCUACAUCAGCCUUCAAUCACAUGAAGGUACACCCCGGUGCUGGUUUGUGAUCACAUCAGAUUUGAGGUGUAUUUAUAACAAUCACAUAAAUGGAAGGUUGCAGGACGAUUUUGGAAAUGUCAAUGGCGUUAACAAAGACAUCGGACAAGAGCUAUCAUAUAUUCUAAUUCAGACACAAGUGAUGAUACAACAAUGCUCUUCGCCAAAUUCUAAUUCAGGCGAGCAUAGCUUAGCUUGGGACCAUGCCCGUGCAACAGUUAUUGUCAUCUUCAUGCCCCAUAUAAGUUGCUUCUGUCAUGCAUAGAAGACAAAGACGCCAUCAACAGCAGCGACACACAUAGUGAGGUCAUUGCCUGACAGGAUUUUGCUUUGAGCUGCUUGGAGACAUCCAGCGUCGUUGUAUUCCUGCUUUAUUGCCCUGUUUUUACACUGAAAAUCUGAACAUAUGUAGUUGAUUUCCAAUAUUCGAUCGUACUGCAAUAUUUUUUGACUUGGUUAUUUGUACAUAGUACAAGCUUGAAUAUUGAAAAAAAAAUUGUGCAUUACUUUGUAUGUGCA
Triticum aestivum (bread wheat) is the source of this 1689-nucleotide long non-coding RNA. RefSeq lists it as uncharacterized. The transcript is spliced from 7 exons. The record is from RefSeq and is a predicted model, not a curated record. NCBI's taxonomy places the organism in Eukaryota, Viridiplantae, Streptophyta, Magnoliopsida, Poales, Poaceae.